This 395-nucleotide ribosomal RNA is filed under the name uncultured bacterium. RNAcentral's name for it is "partial 16S ribosomal RNA". It matches the Rfam family "Bacterial small subunit ribosomal RNA", at positions 338 to 730 of the family's 1533-position model. The record is from RNAcentral.
CCUACGGGUGGCAGCAGUGAGGAAUAUUGGUCAAUGGCCGGAAUGCUGAACCAGCCAUGCCGCGUGCAGGAAGACGGCCCUAUGGGUUGUAAACUGCUUUUAUACGGGGGUAAAGUGCUCCACGAGUGGGGUUUUGCAAGUACGGUACGAAUAAGGAUCGGCUAAUUCCGUGCCAGCAGCCGCGGUAAUACGGAGGGUCCGGGCGUUAUCCGGAUUUAUUGGGUUUAAAGGGUGCGUAGGUUGGUGUUUAAGUGUGCGGUGAAAUUCUGAGGCUCAACAACGGGGGUGCGGCGAGUACUGGAGAACUAGAGAGCGGAGACAGCAGGCGGAAUGUGUAGUGUAGCGGUGAAAUGCAUAGAUAUUACACAGAACACCGAUUGCGAAGGCAGCUUGCU